GGGACGGUGAGUAGUAUGGUGGUG
Molecule: small nuclear RNA, 24 nt
Filed under: Arabidopsis thaliana (thale cress)
Lineage: Eukaryota; Viridiplantae; Streptophyta; Magnoliopsida; Brassicales; Brassicaceae
Description: snRNA_05453
Source: RNAcentral